GACGAACGCUGGCGGCGUGCUUAACACAUGCAAGUCGAACGGAAAGGCCCUGCUUUUGUGGGGUGCUCGAGUGGCGAACGGGUGAGUAACACGUGAGUAACCUGCCCUUGACUUUGGGAUAACUUCAGGAAACUGGGGCUAAUACCGGAUAGCAGCUCCUGCUGCAUGGUGGGGGUUGGAAAGUCUCGGCGGUUGGGGAUGGACUCGCGGCUUAUCAGCUUGUUGGUGGGGUAGUGGCUUACCAAGGCAUUGACGGGUAGCCGGCCUGAGAGGGUGACCGGCCACAUUAGGACUGAGAUACGGCGCAGACUCCUACGGGAGGCAGCAGUGGGGAAUAUGGCACAAUGGGCGGAAGCCUGAUGCAGCAACGCCGCGUGCGGGAUGACGGUCUUCGGGUUGUAAACCGCUUUCGCCUGUGACGAAGCGUGAGUGACGGUAAUGGGUAAAGAAGCACCGGCUAACUACGUG
This 468-nucleotide ribosomal RNA is filed under the name uncultured bacterium. RNAcentral's name for it is "partial 16S ribosomal RNA". It matches the Rfam family "Bacterial small subunit ribosomal RNA", at positions 28 to 507 of the family's 1533-position model. The record is from RNAcentral.